This 102-nucleotide Y RNA is filed under the name Saimiri boliviensis boliviensis (Bolivian squirrel monkey). RNAcentral describes it as "Y RNA (ENSSBOG00000006052.1)". It matches the Rfam family "Y RNA". From Rfam's summary of the family: Y RNAs are components of the Ro ribonucleoprotein particle (Ro RNP), in association with Ro60 and La proteins. The Y RNAs and Ro60 and La proteins are well conserved, but the function of the Ro RNP is not known. Lineage: Eukaryota; Metazoa; Chordata; Mammalia; Primates; Cebidae. The record is from Rfam by way of RNAcentral.
AGCUGGUCCGAGUGCAGUGGUGUUUACAACUAAUCAAUCACAGCCAGUUACAGAUUUCUUUGUCCCUUCUCCAUUCCCACUGCUUCACUUGACUAGACUUAA